CUUUGGUUUUCUUUCUUCAGCAAAUUCUGGGAACCAGGAAGUAGAUGACGGUUGGCCUUAGGGUACAAUCAACGGUCGAUGGUUUUGAUUUUAAUUCCAAACUCACCGACAGCGUUGAAUGUUCACUGAAGCAACCUCUAAACUCAGAAUUCUGUUGACUUUACAGCCUCUGUCAGAUGAAUGACACCAAAAUUUGGCAAAUAAUACUGAUUUGAAAGCUUGGAGAAAACACACCGUUCUGUGAAGCCACACUGCAAGACUGUCUCUGAUAAGAGUUGGGGCUGUUGAGAAGCCUUUGCCUGGUGUUUAUUGUUACCCAGCUCUCGCCUGUUAUAAGAAGAAGCCCUCGAAUGGAGCCACCCUGAGAGAACAGUCUCAGCAUGUUCUGAGCUCAAAGCAUAUGCUGAAAGAUGAAAAUCCUAAUUGCAGACUGAUGUGCCCAUGGUGUUUUGUGUAAGUGAAUCACUUGGCAAUACAAAGCAUAUUCCUGACAUUUUAAUAGAAGCCCUCAACACAUCAAUGACAUGAAAAAGACCAUCAUAUAAAAACAAUUCUGCUUUAUCGAUUCUGAAAAUAAUUCAUCUGUCUAUGAAUGUCCAGGAACCACCCAAGAUUGAUGAAGAAUAAGCUGAUGAAAAGUACAUUAUAGUUAAGAUAAGAAGGUGACAGUGUGAAGGGCAACAAAAACAAUUCUGGAGAAUGUUUUAUAUAUUUUGUAUCUGAUUUAGAAAUGGCUUUUUAAAACUUCAUAUCUGCAUCCUUCUAGAAUCCAUAAUUGCUAAUGAUUACAAGUAUCAGCUCCAGGAAGACUGCCUAGUGAGUUUUUCUGAGGCAGUAAAGAUAAACAAACCAGUCUCUAUCUAAACAAAUAUUUCUUUUAUGGUGAUUUAAACCCUCAGCAUAUAAUGGGGCAGUAAGACAUUAGGAGAAUUCAUAGUAUCUUUUGGCUGUCAUAGGAACAGUUAGCUAAAACUGACAAAAUGCUUAAGCAUACAUAAAAUCAAUUUCCUAAAAAUGUUACAAAUAUAGUACAAAAUAUUCUCUAACUAGAAGAUUUUAGAUAUUAGA
Heterocephalus glaber (naked mole-rat) is the source of this 1068-nucleotide long non-coding RNA. RefSeq lists it as uncharacterized. The record is from RefSeq and is a predicted model, not a curated record. NCBI's taxonomy places the organism in Eukaryota, Metazoa, Chordata, Mammalia, Rodentia, Bathyergidae.